RNAcentral lists this ribosomal RNA (164 nucleotides) under Entolasia stricta. Its description in RNAcentral is "5.8S ribosomal RNA". It matches the Rfam family "5.8S ribosomal RNA". From Rfam's summary of the family: 5.8S ribosomal RNA (5.8S rRNA) is a component of the large subunit of the eukaryotic ribosome. It is transcribed by RNA polymerase I as part of the 45S precursor that also contains 18S and 28S rRNA. Functionally, it is thought that 5.8S rRNA may be involved in ribosome translocation. Lineage: Eukaryota; Viridiplantae; Streptophyta; Magnoliopsida; Poales; Poaceae. RNAcentral also lists the same sequence under 1 other name. The record is from RNAcentral.
CACACGACUCUCGGCAACGGAUAUCUCGGCUCUCGCAUCGAUGAAGAACGUAGCAAAAUGCGAUACCUGGUGUGAAUUGCAGAAUCCCGCGAACCAUCGAGUUUUUGAACGCAAGUUGCGCCCGAGGCCUUUUGGUCGAGGGCACGCCUGCCUGGGCGUCACGC